RNAcentral lists this long non-coding RNA (375 nucleotides) under Marmota monax (woodchuck). The record is from RNAcentral. Lineage: Eukaryota; Metazoa; Chordata; Mammalia; Rodentia; Sciuridae.
GUCAUGGUCUUUUGGAAGAGAGGAGAGAAAGGAUGGAGAGAGCUCACUAUAGAGAAGGGGAUGGUCAGGUAUAAAAGUAGACCUAAUAGACCUAGGAAGGAGCUGCUCUUCAAAGGCUUCACUGCCCACUCACUCCCUAGAGCAACUGUCUGUGGCUUAUUAUCUUCUCUCUUACUAGUGAAGAAACUGUGAGGCUCGGAGAGGUGAAGUAACUUUUUUCACAGUCCAGUCAAAAUUCAGUCCCUGCCCCAUGUGACUCCUCAGCCAAAUUCUUGCCACGCCUAGGCUUCCCAGGCACCCGGCUAGUUUAUGUGAGUGAAUGCAGCUAAGGAUGCUUUAAAACAGCUAAAUUUAUCUGCCCCUCCCUAGCUUCAC